GAUGAACGCUGGCGGCGUGCCUAAUACAUGCAAGUCGAGCGAACGGACGAGAAGCUUGCUUCUCUGAUGUUAGCGGCGGACGGGUGAGUAACACGUGGAUAACCUACCUAUAAGACUGGGAUAACUUCGGGAAACCGUAGCUAAUACCGGAUAAUAUUUUGAACCGCAUGGUUCAAAAGUGAAAGACGGUCUUGCUGUCACUUAUAGAUGGAUCCGCGCUGCAUUAGCUAGUUGGUAAGGUAACGGCUUACCAAGGCAACGAUGCAUAGCCGACCUGAGAGGGUGAUCGGCCACACUGGAACUGAGACACGGUCCAGACUCCUACGGGAGGCAGCAGUAGGGAAUAUUGCGCAAUGGGCGAAAGCCUGACGGAGCAACGCCGCGUGAGUGAUGAAGGUCUUCGGAUCGUAAAACUCUGUUAUUAGGGAAGAACAUAUGUGUAAGUAACUGUGCACAUCUUGACGGUACCUAAUCAGAAAGCCACGGCUAACUACGUG
This 497-nucleotide ribosomal RNA is filed under the name uncultured bacterium. Its description in RNAcentral is "partial 16S ribosomal RNA". It matches the Rfam family "Bacterial small subunit ribosomal RNA", at positions 28 to 507 of the family's 1533-position model. The record is from RNAcentral.